GUCGAGCGGAAACGAGUUAACAGAACCUUCGGGGGACGUUAACGGCGUCGAGCGGCGGACGGGUGAGUAAUGCCUGGGAAUAUGCCUUGAUGUGGGGGAUAACCAUUGGAAACGAUGGCUAAUACCGCAUAAUCUCUACGGAGCAAAGAGGGGGACCUUCGGGCCUCUCGCGUCAAGAUUAGCCCAGGUGGGAUUAGCUAGUUGGUGAGGUAAUGGCUCACCAAGGCGACGAUCCCUAGCUGGUCUGAGAGGAUGAUCAGCCACACUGGAACUGAGACACGGUCCAGACUCCUACGGGAGGCAGCAGUGGGGAAUAUUGCACAAUGGGCGCAAGCCUGAUGCAGCCAUGCCGCGUGUGUGAAGAAGGCCUUCGGGUUGUAAAGCACUUUCAGUAGGGAGGAAGGUGAUGUCGUUAAUAGCGGCAUGAUUUGACGUUACCUACAGAAGAAGCACCGGCUAACUCCGUGCCAGCAGCCGCGGUAAUACGGAGGGUGCGAGCGUUAAUCGGAAUUACUGGGCGUAAAGCGCAUGCAGGUGGUGAGUUAAGUCAGAUGUGAAAGCCCGGGGCUCAACCUCGGAACUGCAUUUGAAACUGGCUCACUAGAGUACUGUAGAGGGGGGUAGAGUUUCAGGUGUAGCGGUGAAAUGC
Molecule: ribosomal RNA, 649 nt
Filed under: uncultured bacterium
Lineage: Bacteria
Description: bacterial SSU rRNA
Rfam family: Bacterial small subunit ribosomal RNA
Source: RNAcentral